This 356-nucleotide ribosomal RNA is filed under the name uncultured bacterium. RNAcentral's name for it is "bacterial SSU rRNA". It matches the Rfam family "Bacterial small subunit ribosomal RNA", at positions 8 to 353 of the family's 1533-position model. The record is from RNAcentral.
AGAGUUUGAUCCUGGCUCAGGAUGAACGCUAGCUACAGGCUUAACACAUGCAAGUCGAGGGGCGAGCAUUUUAGUUUGCUUGCAAACUAAAGAUGGCGACCGGCGCACGGGUGAGUAACACGUAUCCAACCUGCCGAUAACUCGGGGAUAGCCUUUCGAAAGAAAGAUUAAUACCCGAUGGCAUAGUUCUUCCGCAUGGUAGAACUAUUAAAGAAUUUCGGUCAUCGAUGGGGAUGCGUUCCAUUAGGUUGUUGGCGGGGUAACGGCCCACCAAGCCUUCGAUGGAUAGGGGUUCUGAGAGGAAGGUCCCCCACAUUGGAACUGAGACACGGUCCAAACUCCUACGGGAGGCAGCA